UACAGAGGUCCCAAGCGUUGUUCGGAUUCACUGGGCGUAAAGGGUGCGUAGGUGGCGAGGUAAGUCGGAUGUGAAAGCUCGGAGCUCAACUCCGAAAUGGCAUUGGAAACUACCUUGCUCGAGGGAUGGAGGGGGGACUGGAAUUCUCGGUGUAGCAGUGAAAUGCGUAGAUAUCGAGAGGAACACCAGUGGCGAAGGCGGGUCUCUGGACAGUUCCUGACACUGAGACACGAAGGCCAGGGGAGCAAACGGG
RNAcentral lists this ribosomal RNA (253 nucleotides) under uncultured bacterium. Its description in RNAcentral is "partial 16S ribosomal RNA". It matches the Rfam family "Bacterial small subunit ribosomal RNA", at positions 524 to 776 of the family's 1533-position model. The record is from RNAcentral.